RNAcentral lists this long non-coding RNA (2011 nucleotides) under Mytilus galloprovincialis (Mediterranean mussel). Lineage: Eukaryota; Metazoa; Mollusca; Bivalvia; Mytilida; Mytilidae. The record is from RNAcentral.
GAACAUGUAAUAUUUCAUCCUUAUUUUAGAAAUUUAUGAGUUGAUGAUUAUCAAUUAUUAAUUGUGUAUAUAUAUAUAUAAGCGAUUUCAUAUUAUAAUAUUUGAUAUAUUUUGUAUAUUUCAGCUAUAUAAGUGAUUGUCAGAUUGUGACCGCUGCCUUGGAAUUUGUUACACUACAUGGCCAGGAAAUCUUACAGAAAAAUCUCUAUCAAAACUUUAUACUACACAUGGUCAAUCUGUUUGACUUUAGUCUGAUCAAACCUGAAGAAGUACAGAAAAUAUUGACUAAACUAGAGGAAAUCAAAACAAGCAUGUCAUAAUGUCAGAUGUCAUUUCAUAUUUAUAUCAUUGCUUAACUGUUAUCUUGUUAAACAGUUAUUUUAUGUUCAAUGAAUUUUGUAAUUAGUUAAGAUUUAAAAGAUGGCUUGUUUUGGAGUUCAAAAUAGACUUGUUUUGAAAUUGGCUCCUACUUUCUUCAAAUUUAGAAUUUGAUCCUCUGCCAUGUUAGUUGUGCCUGUAUUUAUUUCUAUUGUAUGCAUAUUAAAGCUUUGUAGUUGUGGAUGUAUUUAAAGUAACCAUAAUGGUUUAAAAUAACGCACCUGACAUAGGUCAGCUAAAAAAUGUACUCUCUAUCUAUUUGCUUUUACAUAUUUUUGUAUUGUGAAGAAACCUUCCUUCUCUGACAGCAAUAUCAUGAUAUUAUUGAACUUACUUAAAGCAAUCAUCAAAAAUUAGUUUGGUUUUAUAGUUUUGUAGGUCAGUUUAGCACUACAUUUAUAUUUGUGAUUCUUCAAUCUCUUAAAAAAUUUAGAUACUUAUUUAUAGUUUUCUCCAAAAAAUAUCAGGAAUUAUGAAAAGGUUUAAAAUAUAUGAAGUUCAAUCAUUAUAUUAGCAUCAUAAUCUCAGGAUGAAUUAUGCUCAAUACAUAUUUUGCCUUAAGUUCCCCAUGGAUAAUUGUGUUCAUUAGGAAUGGAAAAUAGGUUUGUCUGAAGAUAUUCCAGGGAGACAACUUGUUUUGAUAAAAACAUUAUUUACAUGAAGAAAUUGCAUUAUAUAUAUUUUCCUUAGAACAUUUUCUGCUUUGUCUGUAUCAAGCAUGGAAGAAGAUUGUCUCAUAUGUAUUUGUUUAAAAAGUUCCAUUUUUCAGAAACUUUUUUAAGCAUAUCAAGGAUAUUUAAACGCAACUCGUAACAUUUAAAAGAACAAGUGUUUUAGUCCUUCAUGCAAAUAAUGCUAUUCAAGUUGAAAUAAUUUUGAUUAAAAAAACAAAAUUCAGUCAAGUAUGUAGUACAGUAUGACAAAAGAUCUUAAUGUCAUUGUAUUAUUAGUAUUUAUGUUGGUCAGUGUAUUUAACAUGACUUCUUUGGAGGGAAAAUUUCAGCAGACUCACCCAAUUCUUUUCUUGUCAUGAAAUGCAUGAAAUAUUUGCCACUGGACUUUAAGCAUCCAAUAUUCAAUCUCUAUUCUUUUCAGGGUCAGAUUCACAUAAAGGUGUACAUCUAACACAAACAAAUCAAUAAUUAAAUUGUGCAAUAAUUUUAAUAAAACAGUGUUCUGAAAUGUCUUCACACAGAAAGUGGAAUGUCAUGUGUGAUAUAGGUUACCUUUUCUUAUCCUGGAUUAUUAGGGUAAAUUAGUCUUACAACUUAUUUUGAAUACAUGUCAGCCAUAUUGUUCCAUAAAUUUUUAAAUUGUGAUAUGUAUGUAUGUGCAGCUGAAUAAUUGUAAUAAAAGUAAUGUUUUGUGUUAAAUGACUUUGUGUACUGUAGUCUAUCCUUUGGAUCAAUGAGAAUGAUACAUUCAAGCUAACAGUAUAUAAAUUAGCUGUGAGCUGAUUUCAAAUGAGAUAACUUUCCAACAGAAACCAAAUAAGAACAGAAAGAUCAUCAGCAAUGAGCAAAGCACUUUACCUCAUAGCAAGCUUUAAAAAGCCAUGACUGGUCAAAUGUAAAACAAUGCAAAACAAUAAACUAGAGGCUCUCAAGAGUGUUAUCUAUAUCUAUAAUAAUAU